Molecule: non-coding RNA, 119 nt
Organism: Ancylostoma duodenale
Lineage: Eukaryota; Metazoa; Nematoda; Chromadorea; Rhabditida; Ancylostomatidae
Source: Rfam
AUCUCUGGCUCCUUUGCAUUUAACCGAAAAAAUCUUUCGCCUUUUACUAAAGAUUUCCGUGCAAAGGUGCUUUUUAUGAGUAUUCAACAAUUUUUAGAAUCCCCUUGAAAGAGUGGGAU